CGUACGCUAAUUGACACGCGGUUCUGCUGACGAUGCUAAACAUAUUUCCGAGAUGUUUUCAAACAUGAAAGCGAUUUUGUAGAUUUCAGCGGGACUAUUCAUUAUAAACAAAUUUCGUGCGCAGUUACAUGUAUGAAAGGUUGAGAGAAAAGAUGACGGGAGGGAAACUUGUCACUAACACAACAAAAGAGUUGAAACAUUUCCUGCUAGAUUGCUUACAUCAUAGUGGUUUCAGAGUAACUGGUAACUGAUGAAAAAAUGUUUACAUCACUCAUGCAGCACGAUAUCUCAUGGCUUCACGAGAUCUUGAAGGAUGCGAUGAAGCAGCGGGAGCAAUCAAUGCAGGAAAGCAGGCUCUCCUAGUCAGAACAGGCAAGUACUGCCUAGGUGAUGAAAACCAGUUACCCUCACGUACAUGGACAGUGGACAGCUUUCCCCAUGCUGUAAUCCUUUUGUUGGACUCCUGACGCUUAUGACAUCAUCACUGAUUGGAGGUCAAAGAUCAUGGAUGUUUAUAGUGCCAAGUGUAGCAGUGGUGUGUGUCUUUGGUGACCAGUAAGAUGUUGUUAGUUAAGAAAUUGCACAGUUCCUGUGUUAGUAAAGUUAAAAUGUAUAAAAGCUGAUAUACAUUAUUGUAAAGACACCUAUAUUUACCAGUAAUUAACAAAAGGGCCAAUAAGCAUUCUGAUUUAUGGGACCACAAAAAUUACCUGAGAACUAUGUCUUUGAAGAUUCCCCCCCCCCCCAUUCUUAAAUCAUGCAAAAUGAUGUAUUAUCGGCAACUUAUAGCUCAUAUUGACAAUUCUAGGCUUGUUUUGAAGAAGUACUUUUUUUGCUCAUUUGGGGACCAUCUGUUGUCUAGUCCCUUUAACACCGGCUUUCAUUGUUUCUGUUGCUAUUUGUGAGCAGUUGACCUGCACAUAUGAAGGAUAACUAUUGACUUUUAACCUGUUACCUAUGCUUAAAAUUUAGUCAAAGGAUGGAACUGUCCAUUUACCAGUCAUAAGUUGUAGUCCCUAAUUAAGUUAACUAUUAAUGGAUUAAGUUUUUUAAGUUAUAAAUUAGCUUAUACUUGGGAAUCAAAGUCUUUUCACUUAAAGUGUUUCAGCCAAUUACCUGGCUAACAGAUCUACACCUUGGCGACUGAUAGAUACAAGUUGAAUAUUUUUGGUUGUUUUAUUUUAAUUAUUAAUAUUCAUUUUUGAGUUGUUUUUGAAACAGUGAAGUAUUUCACAACUGAUUAUCUGUGUAAGAAUUUAUGUAUGAAAUGUUAAAAGUUGUAUGUUAAAGGAGAUUGCUUCAACUUUGUGAGUUUUUUGUUUGUUUUGAAUAUUUAGGAUUCAAUUAAGUUGUACGCUCAAAACUUUGGUUUAUACUAUAAAAUGGUUGAAUCACAAGAACAAUGAGAGAAGAAUCUCACAAGAUAAGAGCAGUCUCCAUUACAUGAUAUGUAACUACCUUGGAUAAAUGUUUCUAAUCGGUCUUCUUGCCCCAUGAAAUAUUUGAACGGCAGGAUUAUUAGAUUGAAUGGGAUUAUUGGGUUGGACAUUUUGACAAUGAUAUUCAGAUUGGGGCAUUACAUACAUUUUAUGAGAGUUGUACAUGAUAUAAUUAUCGUUUUUACUAGUAACUGAACAUUUCGAUGGAUAAUUAGGUUGAACAUUUUCAAAACUAGAAAAUACAUUCUUGUUGCUUUAGUUGUGUAGUUGCUAGACAUUGUAUAAUAAUAGUCAAAAUUGACAUUAAGAUUGAUAACAUUUUGUCAAAACUGGAUAUAUAAUAGAUAUAUAAUAGAUUUACUUAACAUUAGGCAUUGAUCUUGUAAUGUAAUAUUGACAUCACUUCAUUUAUUAUCGUAUACCAAUAACCAGAAGCGGUCUUUCUCAUUGAAUUUUUUUUUUAAAUUUCAUUAAAUCCACUGUCAAUUGAACCUGUAAGCCAAUGUGUUCAGUAAGGAACUUUAGUGCUCUUCUUUUUUAAAAAUGGGAUAAGUAACUGAAGAUCAUUUCAGACAUUCUAAUUAUACCCCCACAAAUGAAGUUUGAGGGGGUAUAUAGGAGUGAGCUUGUCGGUCGGUCGGUCUGUCUGUCGGUUUUAAUGGUUUCCGGACGAUAACUCAUGAAAGGCUAGACAGAUUUGAAAAAUGUUUGGUACACAGGUGUAACAUCAGAAGAUACAGGUCAAGUUCGAUAUUGGGGCUGGUGGGGCCAAGGUCAAGGUCACUGUUACAUAAAAUAGAAAAACGGUUUCCGGACGAUAACUCAUGAAACGCUAGACAGAUUUGAACAAUUUUUGGUACACAGGUGUAACAUCAGAAGAUACAACAGGUCAAGUUCGAUAUUGGGGCUGGUCGGGCCAAGGUCAAGGUCAUUGUUAAUAAAAAUAGAAAAACGGUUUCCGGACGAUAACUCAUGAAAGGCUUGACAGAUUUGAACAAUUUUUGGUACACAGGUGUUUCAUCAGAAGAUACAGGUCAAGUUCGAUAUUGGGGCUGGUGGCCCCAAGGUCAAGGUCACUGUUACUAAAAAUAGAAAACCGGUUUCCGGACGAUAUUUUAUGAAAGGCUAGACAGAUUUGAACAAAUUUUGGUACACAGGUGUAACAUCAGAAGAUACAGUUUGGUACACAGGUGUAACAUCAGAAGAUACAGGUCCAGUUUGAUAUUGGGGCUGGUGGGGCCAAGGUCAAGGUCACUGUUACUAAAAAUAGAAAAACAGUUUCCGGACGAUAACUCAUGAAAGGCUAGUUUUUCUUGUCAGCAGUGUAACUUCUAAAUUACUCAACAGAUUUAAAUAAAACAAUACAUGCAUGACUAAAAGAAGAUGCAGUGUGCAGUAACCUUGGAGUUAUGGCCUCUUUUCAAAGGAAUGGUUUGUCAUUCCUGUGUCCAGGCGGCAUUUUGGGGUAUUCGUCACUCCUGUGACAGCUCUAGUUUUGUAUGUUGUCACUUGUACAGUGUUUGAUACUAAGACCGGACUCCUUAAUUCCAGAAUCAAGGAGUCCGGCAUUCAAUUAAGGAGUCCAGAAUAAAAAUAAACUUUUCAGGCUAAUGGCUAUUCAUUUAAUGAUUUCACAGAGCAUUUGAUAUUGCUUCUUCUGUAGAGCAAUGUUGUCCCUCAAGCCCAUGUCUGUGUCAUCAUUAUCUUCAUCAUCGCCCCCAGACCAAUCAGGUUCCUCUUUGAUAACAACCUCCUCAACUCCUCCUCACCAUCCUCCAGCUGUACUGCAACAUCCACUGGAAACGCCUUCUUCUGGUCCCCACAAGUCUUUAAAAGACAUUAUAGCAUUACUCAAGUAAACCAAGAUUUGUUUUCUGCAAUAUUAUGCAUUUAGAAAUAAAGUAGUAUAUUUGUUUACCAUUAUCUCUUUCAUAUAGUUAAGCCUACAAGCCCUUUGUCCAUUGGUGUACCAAAGGUGUACAACUUCCUCUAGGUUAAAGUCCAUCACGCUAGGGGACUUGAUGUAGAGAAGCAUCAGGUCUGACAGAUUCUUCUCUGCCAACCUUGACCUCCAGUCAUUCUUUAACAAACCAAACAUCAAGAUAUUUUUUGUAAGUGAAGGAUUUGCCAUUUGGACUUCAAUGGUGCUCGAGCUGUUAAAGUCACUGAUGACACAAUACUGAUCGUCGAUGUCUGUACAACCCAUUAGCCACCUUGCUUUGUCAUGUGACGUAAAAUAAAAUGCGAAUUGUCUCACUAUAUAAUUCUUGUUCAUUCCUUCACUUACCAUAUAUAUAUUUAUGUGUUGUGCAAGGCUAUUUCGAUGACCAUAAUAUUUCUUAAG
Molecule: long non-coding RNA, 3783 nt
Organism: Mya arenaria
Lineage: Eukaryota; Metazoa; Mollusca; Bivalvia; Myida; Myidae
Exons: 4
Source: RefSeq, a predicted model, not a curated record